UACAGUAAUCCCCUCAUCAUCUAGAGCCCGCCUGGCCAAACUUCUUGGCACAACUACAGGAGGUGGGAUGGAUACUACUGACGGGGCAGGAGAUUUCCCCCGAGCAAUCUGCUCCCUCAGAGCCUGAUUCUCCGCCAGUAACUGUUCCAUCAAUGCAUCUCUACUUCCUACCUCUCCUUGAUCAUCGACCCUCCGUCUAUCAGCAGGAGGAGGUUUUUCUCUUUGGGGCUCGACAUGUGCAGAACCCGCAUCCAAUGCUAUAUCUGGCUCCAUUUUUCUUGAAAGUAUUCUUUAUAUGUCUCUAAAAGAGUUAAAAAGAGAGGGCAGUCGUUACACACUGAGUCAUAAUAUAUUUUACUGAAUUGUAAAUGACUCAUAAAUUAAUAUACAGAAAAAUCCUAUGCUCCAUAGUAUAAUCCUAUACUUAAUCCUGGCUCACCCUAUUGCUCUGACAGGACUCUUCUUAACCUUUGCUCUGAUACCAAGCUUUGUCACGACCCCCGCCCCGUUCCCGGCGGGCCGCCGCGACGGUCCUAGGGUGCGGGUAGGCAUAAGGCCACCAGCCACCGCGUAGAACCCUACUACCUAUCAAUCAUCAAUAAAUCUUGAAAAAUUUGGCAUGAUGCAUGCACAAAAUGAUCACUUUUCCUAUAGUGACCUGUCAGGAUUAUCUCAAUACAUACAACACACUACCUGUCAGAGCAGCAAUCACAUAAUCUGUCACAUAUA
Molecule: long non-coding RNA, 729 nt
Filed under: Phoenix dactylifera (date palm)
Lineage: Eukaryota; Viridiplantae; Streptophyta; Magnoliopsida; Arecales; Arecaceae
Description: long non-coding RNA (PDAC_LNC018693)
Source: RNAcentral